GAUGAACGCUGGCGGCGUGCCUAAUACAUGCAAGUCGAGCGAUCAGACGAGGAGCUUGCUCCUCUGACGUUAGCGGCGGACGGGUGAGUAACACGUGGAUAACCUACCUAUAAGACUGGGAUAACUUCGGGAAACCGGUGCUAAUACCGGAUAAUAUCUUGAACCGCAUGGUUCAAUAGUGAAAGCCGGUUUUGCUGUCACUUAUAGAUGGAUCCGCGCCGCAUUAGCUAGUUGGUAAGGUAACGGCUUACCAAGGCAACGAUGGGUAGCCGACCUGAGAGGGUGAUCGGCGACCCUGGAGCGUGGACACGGACCAUGCGCCUACGAGAGGCAGCAGUAGGGAAUCGGCCGCAAUGGGCGAAAGCCUGGCGGAGCAACGCGACGCGAGUGAUGACGGUCUUGGGAGCGUAAAACUCUGUUAUUAGUUAAGAACAAAUGUGUAAGGAACUAUGCACGUCGUGACGGUACCUAAACAGAAAGCCACGGCUAACUACGUG
This 497-nucleotide ribosomal RNA is filed under the name uncultured bacterium. RNAcentral's name for it is "partial 16S ribosomal RNA". It matches the Rfam family "Bacterial small subunit ribosomal RNA", at positions 28 to 507 of the family's 1533-position model. The record is from RNAcentral.